AAAAAAAAUAUCAGCAGCACUUUUAUCGAUAAGAUUUGAGAGUGAGAGCGCUGCUUCCGUUGCUCACUAGUUUGUUGGGAGAUGGCGGCUUCAGCUGCUUCUACGGUGGCAGCGGCGGCCACAAUGGCGGCACUCACUCUUCACCGUUUCUCCAAAUCAAAUUCUUCCUUCCGCACACUCCCUCGCCUCACUUGCUCCCUGUCUUCUUCUUCCUCACCUCCUUUAAAAUUCAACAUCUCCUUCGCUCCUCCAAAGCCCAAGCCCAAGCCCAACCCAGGCCCAGGGACCGAUCCCGAGGACGAUGACGCGGGCCCCGACCAAUUCCUGGUCCCGUGGAUCGUUCGAGGCGAGGAUGGGAACCUCAAGCUUCAGACGCAGCCUCCGGCGCGUCUGUUGAACGCGAUUGCAACCGCCGAAACUGGAAGUAAGAAGAAGACUAAGAAGAGCGAGAAGGAAGUUAAGGCGACGACGACGUCGCCGCCGCAGCGGUCGAAGGCGGCCCGGAGAUUCUACAAUGAGAAUUUUAGAGACCCUGGGACGCGCCUCAGCAAGGUUCUUGCUGCUUCUGGAGUUGCAUCGAGAAGAAGUUGUGAGGAACUUAUAUUUGAAGGCAAGGUUACUGUCAAUGGUUCUGUGUGCAAUACUCCUCAGACUAGAGUUGAUCCUGCAAAAGAUGUUAUCUACGUGAAUGGGAGCCGUCUUCCUAAGAGGCUGCCUCACAAGGUGUAUCUUGCCUUGAACAAGCCAAAAGGGUACAUAUGCUCAUCUGGGGAGAAUGAGUCCAAGUCUGUUGUAAGUCUAUGUGAUGAUUUUCUGAAGACCUGGGGUAAAAACCAUCCAGGAGUACCCACACCAAGGUUAUUUACUGUAGGGCGCCUUGAUGUUGCUACAACUGGGUUGAUUAUUGUGACUAAUGAUGGAGAUUUUGCCCAAAAACUUUCACAUCCAUCAUCUAAUUUAACAAAAGAAUACAUUGCAACAGUUGAGGGUUCGGUUUAUAAGAGGCAUUUAAUUGCCAUAAGUGAAGGAACAACCAUUGAUGACGUCCAUUGUGUACCUGAUAGUGUGGAAUUACUUCCACGUUUGCCUGACGUUCAACGAUCUCGUCUUCGCAUUGUGCAGUACUGUUUUGGAUUUAAGUGAUAACUGGAGUUGGCAUCCCUCUUGUCUCAAAAUGCCCGCAUUUUAGUUCACGAUGGAAGGAAACAUGAAGUUCGUGAACUUGUAAAGUGUGCUGGACUUGAGAUUUAUUCAUUAAAGCGAGUACGCAUUGGUGGUUUCAAACUUCCAUCAGAUCUUGGUAUAGGGAAGUAUGUUGAGCUAAAUCCAGAAAAUCUGAAGGCAUUGGGGUGGAAGAGUUAAAAAAGGUUGCUCUCGAACUGUUGGGUUCAAAAUAUUCGCCAUCAGUGAGACUAAACUGCCCGGAAGCUAUUAUUGAAGAAUUCGCCAAUGCAAUGGUUUUUGUUUGGUUGGGGCUGUCCGUCGCUGGUGCAUUUCACAUUUCGUGGGAGUUUUGAAAUUAGCAGAGCAGAGUGCUUUUCUUGAGAUUUUGACAUCAAACAAAACUGAUGUUGCAAUCAAUCAUAUCUGGAAGACUUGGGAAAAAGAUUAGAUUACUGCAUAGCAGUUGUACGACUCUUUCUUAUGACUCUGAAGUUUGAGGGGAUUGCUGGUAUAUUUGAUUUAAAGACCUUGUUCCUGACUGCACAGUAAAUAGAACUAGUUUAACUAUUUAGGGUCUGUUCAAAUGAGAGGGUUGUUUUGAUAACUUGGAUGCAUAAAUGUAUACAUAAAGAAAAAGAGACGUUUGUUUAAUUAUUCUUUGUCAUAGACUCAGUGUCAAGCACCAGUCGAGUGUCGA
Molecule: RNA transcript, 1861 nt
Organism: Arachis stenosperma
Lineage: Eukaryota; Viridiplantae; Streptophyta; Magnoliopsida; Fabales; Fabaceae
Gene name: putative ribosomal large subunit pseudouridine synthase SVR1, chloroplastic
Exons: 11
Source: RefSeq, a predicted model, not a curated record